RNAcentral lists this transfer RNA (72 nucleotides) under Toxocara canis (dog roundworm). It matches the Rfam family "tRNA". Rfam says of the family: Transfer RNA (tRNA) molecules are approximately 80 nucleotides in length. Their secondary structure includes four short double-helical elements and three loops (D, anti-codon, and T loops). The record is from Rfam by way of RNAcentral. Lineage: Eukaryota; Metazoa; Nematoda; Chromadorea; Rhabditida; Toxocaridae.
GCGGCAAUAGCUCAUUGGUAGAGAUCCCGCUUGGCAUGCGGGGAGACCUGGGUUCGAUUCCGGGUUGCUUCC